RNAcentral lists this ribosomal RNA (163 nucleotides) under Escherichia coli. RNAcentral describes it as "partial 16S ribosomal RNA". It matches the Rfam family "Bacterial small subunit ribosomal RNA", at positions 1 to 157 of the family's 1533-position model. Lineage: Bacteria; Pseudomonadati; Pseudomonadota; Gammaproteobacteria; Enterobacterales; Enterobacteriaceae. RNAcentral also lists the same sequence under 3 other names. The record is from RNAcentral.
AAAUUGAAGAGUUUGAUCAUGGCUCAGAUUGAACGCUGGCGGCAGGCCUAACACAUGCAAGUCGAACGGUAACAGGAAGCAGCUUGCUGCUUUGCUGACGAGUGGCGGACGGGUGAGUAAUGUCUGGGAAACUGCCUGAUGGAGGGGGAUAACUACUGGAAAC